GGGCUUAUAGUUUAAUUGGUUGAAAUGUACAGCUCAUAACGGUGAUAUGGUAGGUUCGAGCCCUACUAAGCCUA
Molecule: transfer RNA, 74 nt
Filed under: Solanum tuberosum (potato)
Lineage: Eukaryota; Viridiplantae; Streptophyta; Magnoliopsida; Solanales; Solanaceae
Rfam family: tRNA
About the family: Transfer RNA (tRNA) molecules are approximately 80 nucleotides in length.
Source: Rfam by way of RNAcentral